RNAcentral lists this ribosomal RNA (400 nucleotides) under phytoplankton environmental sample. Its description in RNAcentral is "partial small subunit ribosomal RNA". It matches the Rfam family "Eukaryotic small subunit ribosomal RNA", at positions 587 to 992 of the family's 1831-position model. The record is from RNAcentral.
AGCUCCAAUAGCGUAUAUUAAAGUUGUUGCAGUUAAAAAGCUCGUAGUUGGAUCUCGGGUUUAGGCCUGCGGUGCAGUUUAGGCUGCUUACUGCUCGUCCUGACCUACCUGCCGGUUUUCCCUCGGUGCUCUUAAGUGAGUGUCUUGGGUGGCCGGAACGUUUACUUUGAAAAAAUUAGAGUGCUCAAAGCAGGCUUCUGCCUGAAUAUUAGUGCAUGGAAUAAUCGAAUAGGACCUCGGUUCUAUUUUGUUGGUUUUCGGAACUCGAGGUAAUGAUUAAGAGGGACAGACGGGGGCAUUCGUAUUACGGUGUUAGAGGUGAAAUUCUUGGAUCGCCGUAAGACGAACUACUGCGAAAGCAUUUGCCAAGAAUGUUUUCAUUAAUCAAGAACGAAAGUAG